RNAcentral lists this long non-coding RNA (1016 nucleotides) under Canis lupus familiaris (dog). Its description in RNAcentral is "lncRNA (ENSCAFG00040019488.1)". The record is from RNAcentral. Lineage: Eukaryota; Metazoa; Chordata; Mammalia; Carnivora; Canidae.
AAAAUAGAGUAUACUUUUGAACAAUUAGGUUCAUUAAUAUCUUAAGAAUUUUAAAAAGUAAAACCUACUACCUAUGCCUUUUAUAGACCUUUCUGUCUUCAAGUGCUGUGAAUAGACUGAAAUGAACUCUGGAGUAACAUAAUUCAAAACAGCCUCGACAAAAUUACAAAUGAUCAUUUAGUAUUUCCUAACAAAGCAAAGAGACUAGAGAACUUUGGUUCUGUCAAAAUCAUUGCAAAAUUGCCACAAAUUAAAAUAGAGUGAAAAUUUGAGUGAUAAGCAAACCUAGAAGAAGAAUUUAAAAAGCACUACAGUCAUGUAAGUGUUAAUGUACAUUUCUAAAAACCCCAGUUCACAUGUUUAUGUACUUCCCAAAGACCUUCGUGUUCUAGUAUUUUAAUAUAUGCCUUGGGUGUUUAUUAAUAGGCACUUUGGAAAAUCAUUCAGGCCACUGGCUUUCUUCCUUUUAGUGCUGGGAAAUAGUAAUUUACUAAAUAGCAACUCAUUAAUGUGAAAGAGUUAAUGGAAAAACUGUGUUAUGCAUUUUGAUAAUCUACUUCAAUAAAUAUAACCACAUAAUGAUGAUUAUUUAGAAAUAUAAGUAGCAACAGUAAAUCUAAAUAAAGACAUUAUUUAUAAAAUUGGGACUAGUAAUAUUUUCCCACAUAUUGGUAGGAAAAAGUUAUUAUUAUUAUUUUUUGGUCUCUUUAUUCUAGAUUGUUGGUAAUUUGGAAAUAAGAAGAAAAAUAAAUUAUGUCUGGGGAAGUCCAGAGAAAAGAAUCUGGAUUCAGGGUGAUUACUGCAUGUUCUUUAUCCUUGAAAUUGUUCUGGGUAUUAUCAAGUAAUAUAUAUUUCCUCCCCUUUUACUUCACAGGAUGAAGCAUUCCAGUCAUCACUGUGCUGCCAAUAUGAAUGAAGACCCAGAGGGAAAAGGAGGCAGAGGAGCUGCCAAAAACAGGCAAUGGAAGAAAGUAAGUGAGAUGGGAAGAAGAGUCACCAGACGCAUCCUGGGAUGA